Molecule: ribosomal RNA, 2715 nt
Filed under: Acuticoccus sediminis
Lineage: Bacteria; Pseudomonadati; Pseudomonadota; Alphaproteobacteria; Hyphomicrobiales; Amorphaceae
Description: bacterial LSU rRNA
Rfam family: Bacterial large subunit ribosomal RNA
Source: RNAcentral
GAGUGAUCAAGUGCCUUAAGAGCAUUCGGUGGAUGCCUUGGCAUCGAGAGGCGAUGAAGGACGUGGUACGCUGCGAAAAGUCACGGGGAGGUGCGAACAACCUUUGAUCCGUGAAUGUCCGAAUGGGGAAACCCACCCGUUAAGGGUACCCGCAAGGGAGCGAACCGGGGGAAGUGAAACAUCUCAGUACCCCGAGGAAAAGAAAUCAACCGAGAUUCCGCUAGUAGUGGCGAGCGAACGCGGACCAGGCCGUGCAGUGACACAAACAGAACUGACUGGAACGUCAGGCCGUAGAGGGUGACAGCCCCGUAUGUGUAGAAUGAUCUGCCGUUCGAGUAGGGCGGGACACGUGAAAUCCUGUCUGAACAUGGGGGGACCACCCUCCAAGCCUAAAUACUCCUCGAUGACCGAUAGUGAACCAGUACCGUGAGGGAAAGGUGAAAAGAACCCCGACAAGGGGAGUGAAAGAGUCCCUGAAACCGGAUGCUUACAAACAGUAGGAGGGCGAAAGCCUGACUGCGUACCUUUUGUAUAAUGGGUCAGCGACUUAAUCUGACGAGCAAGCUUAAGCCGAUAGGUGUAGGCGCAGCGAAAGCGAGUCUGAACAGGGCGUUCAGUUCGUCAGAUUAGACCCGAAACCGGGUGAUCUAGCCAUGAGCAGGUUGAAGGUUGGGUAACACCAACUGGAGGACCGAACCGUUGAAUGUUGCAAAAUUCUCGGAUGACUUGUGGUUAGGGGUGAAAGGCCAAUCAAACUCGGUGAUAGCUGGUUCUCCGCGAAAACUAUUUAGGUAGUGCGUUGGAUGUAUCCCUCGGGGGGUAGAGCACUGGAUGAGGAAUGGGGGCUUACCGCCUUACUGACUUCAACCAAACUCCGAAUACCCGAGAGGACUGUCCAGCAGACACACGGCAGGUGCUAACGUCUGUCGUGGAGAGGGAAACAACCCUGAUCACCAGCUAAGGCCCCCAAAUCGUGGCUAAGUGUGAAAGGAUGUAGAGACCCCAAAACAACCAGGAUGUUGGCUUAGAAGCAGCCAUCAUUUAAAGAAAGCGUAACAGCUCACUGGUCUAAACAAGGGUCUCCGCGCCGAAAAUGUAACGGGGCUAAAGCCACGUGCCGAAGCUGUGGGCUCACUUUGUGAGCGGUAGCGGAGCGUUCCGUAGGCCUGCGAAGGGAGACUCGUGAGAGCUCCUGGAGGUAUCGGAAGUGCGAAUGCUGACAUGAGUAACGUAAGGAGUGUGAGAGACACUCCCGCCGAAAGUCCAAGGGUUCCUGCGUAAAGCUAAUCUGCGCAGGGUUAGUCGGCCCCUAAGGCGAACCCGAAAGGGGUAGUCGAUGGGAACGCGGUUAAUAUUCCGCGACCAGGGAUGAGUGACGAAUGCCGGAAGUUGUCCGACCUUACUGGAUUGGUUGGGCAGCCUGGGUGUUCCAGGAAAUAGCUCCCCAAAUGACCGUACCCGAAACCGACUCUGGUGGACUGGUAGAGUAUACCGAGGCGCUUGAGAGAACGAUGCUGAAGGAACUCGGCAAAUUACCUCCGUAACUUCGGGAGAAGGAGGCCUCUGGCUCGGGCAACCGGGUUGGAGGGGCACAGACCAGGGGGUAGCGACUGUUUAUCAAAAACACAGGGCUCUGCGAAGUCGCAAGACGACGUAUAGGGUCUGACGCCUGCCCGGUGCCGGAAGGUUAAAAGGAGGUGUGCAAGCACCGAAUUGAAGCCCCGGUAAACGGCGGCCGUAACUAUAACGGUCCUAAGGUAGCGAAAUUCCUUGUCGGGUAAGUUCCGACCUGCACGAAUGGCGUAACGACUUCCCCGCUGUCUCCAGCAUCGACUCAGUGAAAUUGAAUUCCUCGUGAAGAUGCGAGGUUCCUGCGGUCAGACGGAAAGACCCCGUGCACCUUUACUAUAGCUUUACACUGGUAUUCGUGACGACAUGUGUAGGAUAGGUGGUAGGCUUUGAAGCGUGAGCGCCAGCUUGCGUGGAGCCACCCUUGAAAUACCACCCUUGUUUUCAUGGAUAUCUAACCGCGACGUACGUCCGGGACAGUGUAUGGUGGGUAGUUUGACUGGGGCGGUCGCCUCCCAAAGAGUAACGGAGGCGUGCGAAGGUGGGCUCAGAGCGGUCGGAAAUCGCUCGUUGAGUGCAAUGGCAUAAGCCUGCCUGACUGCGAGACUGACAAGUCGAGCAGAGACGAAAGUCGGCCAUAGUGAUCCGGUGGUCCCGCGUGGAAGGGCCAUCGCUCAACGGAUAAAAGGUACGCCGGGGAUAACAGGCUGAUGACUCCCAAGCGUCCAUAGCGACGGAGUUGUUUGGCACCUCGAUGUCGGCUCAUCGCAUCCUGGGGCUGGAGCAGGUCCCAAGGGUUUGGCUGUUCGCCAAUUAAAGCGGUACGUGAGCUGGGUUCAGAACGUCGUGAGACAGUUUGGUCCCUAUCUGCCGUGGGUGUCGGAGAAUUGACAGGAUCUGCCCCUAGUACGAGAGGACCGGGGUGGACGUACCUCUUGUGGACCUGUUGUGGCGCCAGCCGCAUUGCAGGGUAGCUACGUACGGACGGGAUAACCGCUGAAAGCAUCUAAGCGGGAAACCCACCUGGAAACGAGUUCUCCCUUGAGAGCCGUUGUAGACGACGACGUUGAUAGGUUGGAUGUGGAAGCGUGGCGACAUGUGGAGCUUACCAAUACUAAUCGCUCGAUCGGCUUGAUCGCUCUCAUU